Molecule: long non-coding RNA, 1148 nt
Organism: Branchiostoma floridae (Florida lancelet)
Lineage: Eukaryota; Metazoa; Chordata; Leptocardii; Amphioxiformes; Branchiostomatidae
Exons: 3
Source: RefSeq, a predicted model, not a curated record
GGACAGCUCCUACAGAACACCGAUACGCCUUCCAAUCCUGGCUCCAUUCUACCUGUUCCGUCAUCAGCAAGGGUGUCAGAUGGUCGAAGGCGUCAGCAGUCCUGUGAACGAAUGGUUCUGGUUCGACGAUGAUGAUUGGUUCAACCAUAACGAGCUAGGCGGGGCCCAUCCCUAUGACGACGGCGACCCGGAGAACCAUAGAGUUCACUACUGCUUCUACCAACGGGAUGAAUAGGUUGUAAUGCUGCCUACACAUAUACGUUUCUGGGUCCGAUCUUUCGAUCGUCUGCCAAAGGCAGAAAUAAAGAUUGGCAUAUGUAUUAAGUACUUUGCUUGGAGUGUUGUAUUAUUCUAUUCAAAAUGCUCAACCAAUUUUGAGCUAUUCGUUGUGCAUAUAUAGACUCUAUGCUAUAGCAUUCAUUUUGGAGGGUAGGGGGGCUGUAAAGUUGUAACUAUUGGAUAUUACAUACAAACACGACAGGACAUAUGCAUGCCCAUUUUCCACACAAUUUUAAUGGCAGUGACAACAUUUCAACAAACUGAUUGCUUUGGUUUACACUUUGUCAGACAUUUCAGCUCAUUAGAAGCAAAAGUUUGCUUGGAUAGCCAUAAACCUCAAAUCCCAUACAUUUGAAUGAGAAAACAAUAUGUAUACAGCAAAACACAACUGUUAAUAGAAACAUGCAAAAUGCAGAUAUAUAAAAGACCCUGUGUUGGAAUCACACUUAUGUUAGAUAAGACUAUUUUUGUGGCUACAAAUAUAUAUAUAUAUAUAUUUUUUGCAUGAAGAGAAAGAAAAGAAAAUACGCAUACUGUCCUGACAGACAUACUGAGAGGACCAGUUCCAUAAACAGAAAACAUGAAUGUCAUUCAAGAGAUUAAAAAAAGUAUUUCAACAUUAAUUUUUAUUUUCCUGGGAAUUUCAUGAGAUAACACAGCAUGUAUUUGUCCAAAAUUCCCUUUACUAAUGUUCUAACUUUUGAUCAGUAGGCCAUGGACCCCAGUCUGUGACUAAUUAAAAUUAAUGACAAUACUUCAUUUUCUAGAUUAACCUACACUUCACUAUGACGUCCUUGCUACAACCAAAAUCAGGAAUAACAAUUAAUGACAAUUCUUCAUUUUCUAGAUUAACCUACACUUCACUAAAA